GACGAACGCUGGCGGCGUGCUUAACACAUGCAAGUCGAACGGAAAGGCCCUGCUUUUGUGGGGUGCUCGAGUGGCGAACGGGUGAGUAACACGUGAGUAACCUGCCCUUGACUUUGGGAUAACUUCAGGAAACUGGGGCUAAUACCGGAUAGGAGCUCCUGCUGCAUGGUGGGGGUUGGAAAGUUUCGGCGGUUGGGGAUGGACUCGCGGCUUAUCAGCUUGUUGGUGGGGUAGUGGCUUACCAAGGCUUUGACGGGUAGCCGGCCUGAGAGGGUGACCGGGCACAAUGGGAACGGGGUAACGCCCCGACCCCUAACGGGGGGAAGAGUGGGGAAUUUUGGAACAAGGGCCGAAGGCCUAAGCAGGAACCCCGGGUGGGGGGAGAAGGCCCUUCGGUUGGAAAACGGCUUCCGCUGGGAACGAGGCGGGGGGACGGUAAUGGGUAAAGGAGGAACGGCCAAAUUCGGG
Molecule: ribosomal RNA, 468 nt
Filed under: uncultured bacterium
Lineage: Bacteria
Description: partial 16S ribosomal RNA
Rfam family: Bacterial small subunit ribosomal RNA
Source: RNAcentral